GUUCAUCUUCGAUAAUAUGUUUAUAUCGUCAGUAUAUUUAGAUCAUUAUGCCGUUAUUUCGUUCGUUCGUUCGUUCGUUCGUUCGUUCUAAUAGAUGCUGAAUUAUUUUAUUUUGAUUUCAGUUUAUGUUCCCUUUAUGUUUGUUUUUUUUGAUUUUACUGUCUUACACUGUGCAGUCUUAUGGUUAAUUUCAUGAAUGUAAUGUUUUAUAGGGCAGAAUUAUGUUGAUUUUAAUUAUUGAAAAUAUUAUUUUCGGUAUUUGUGAGGUUAAUAAUCAAGAAUCAAACUCUGUGUUGUAGUAUGUGGAUCAGUGGAUGUAUAAACUCAAUUGUUUACAACUGAUUUUUCAUCAUCGAAUAUACUGCUACUUACUCUGUCUAUGUUUCCGAGUCUUUGUCUGCAUAGUUUGUUAGUAUAUAUGUUAUCUGCUAAUGCUGAGGUAGUUUAUUGUGCUUUCUAGACAAGCUUUUCUUAGCUGUUUCAUUAGUCUCUUGGUUAAUUUUGUUUUUUGUUGGGUGUUCUCUAAUAAUUUUGAGCUUAAGUCUCAAUGUGCUUUCUCCAUAGACAUUGCACAAUAUUGCUACCAGUUAAGCUUGAUUUCCUGAGAGUUUUUUUUUUUUGUUUUGGUUGGUGCAGAAUGGAGUCGCAAAUUAAGCAUGCUGUAGUUGUGAAGGUGAUUGGCAGGACAGGUUCACGUGGGCAAGUUACUCAGGUGAGGGUGAAAUUUAUCGAUGAUCAGAACCGUUUCAUAAUGAGGAAUGUCAAAGGCCCUGUUAGGGAAGGAGAUAUCCUCACCUUGCUAGAGUCUGAACGAGAGGCUAGGAGGCUCAGAUAGAUGAUUAAUAAUUGCUCUCGUAUCAUCAUUAUGUUUUGCUUGCUGAUGCAUUUCUUUUUGAGAUAUUAAUUUCAAUACCAAGUAUUUUGAUGUAAGCUUGAUUUGGAUUUGCGGGGAUGUAUCACAAGACUUGACUUUUGUUUCUGAAUUGAGACUCUCUCAUGUUUACUUGUUUGUUUUGUUUAAAAUGGUUGUCUAAUGUCUAUUGUUUUUAAGCAAGUUGGAUUUGGUUAAUUAGUCUAAAUUUUGGGAAGAUGUACUCGAAGUUGAGCAAUCAAUCUUGGUUCCAUUUUCUGGUAGAAUUAUGGAAUCAAGUAUACCUGGUGUGAGGAUCUAGCGAUGAAUUCUUUUAGAUUUUUUGAUUGUAGAGAUGUGAUUGGUAUUUUAAAUUUUUGAAGAUGGAGAUCUAAGUGAAGCAUGAACAGUGAAAGAAUGGAGUUAAAACUUAAAAGCAAUAUACUUACAUAAAUGUGGAAUGAUUGGAUAGUAAAAUUAGUGACGUUAUGAUGUAUGUAAUUGUUUGUUUAAACAAGAUGGCAUACAUACAUACUGUUGCAGACAAUUUAGUAGUAAGUAAAACACGAAAUAAUAUGACAUCUGUGCUUCCUCUUUUCCUCUUUAAAAAGCGGGAAAAAAAAUAAAAAUAAUAAAUAAUAAAAAAUAAAAAUAACGGCUUAAAUAAAUCACAUCAUUCAUCUGGACCACACAUUUGAAUUCAUCUUUAAUUUCAAAGCAAAUAACCGCUUAAGUAAAGUAUCUCAGAAGACAAUGCAAUAACAGACACUAAAUAUGUUUUCCUCGAUUCUAAAUUCAAACUUCUGAAACAAAACCCUAACAAGAACCACAACUCAGAUUUUAACCUCUUCCUCUUUUCCGGUGAAUUAGGGUUUUUAAGCACCUCCACAUAUAUUUUCUUACAGAAAUCCCACUGUGUUUUUUUAGGGUUAUGUAUAACGUUUCUUCAAUGGACAUCGACGCAGACAUUGCGCACUGGAUGCUGGAUUACCUGCUCAGACAACCGCUGGAGGAGUGGAAAUUGAGUGCCUUGAUCGACGCACUGCCUCUGUCUAACACAGACACGAACACUAGGUUGGAAAGGCUGAUUUUACUGAAACAAUUGGAAUAUAAAGCGGCGCGUUUUCCAGUUUCUCGAAGCACGCUUGUACUGUUCGAACAACUGGAGGAGUUGGAUUCCAGACAGGGUAACAUGAAAGUCUCGGAUGGGAUGAAGCAUGCCUAUUGUGCUGUGGCAGUGAAUUGGACGAUGGAGGGGGCAAUAUGCCAAAUCGAGUUUUUUCAUGCAGUAACGGGUCUGAUGGAGAGGAUAGAAAUGAUGGAGAAGCAUGUAGAAAGGAACGGGGCUUUGUGUUCUGAAGAGCUUUCGGAAUGGAUAAAAGACAUCAAAGCUUCCAUGUGGAAUGCCCAUCUUUUCAAGAGCAUCAUGAAGAAGGUGGAGGGUCUUGAUGUUCUUGAUGCAGUUAGGGUUUUUGUGAAGGGGGAGAGGGAGAAGAUGGGCCCUCCGUUGCUGGAGUUGGUGAAGAAACUGAAGGAUGAUGAAUAUGUUAUGGAAUUUCUACGUGGAAAAGCGAAAAUUGUCGAUCCUGAUUCUGGUGAUGAAAAUGCAAUGGGGCCAUCAUAUGAGACGAGCUGCAAAUCGCCAAUGAGCGAAGAAGUUCGUAUUGUUCGGCGAGCCCUUCAUAAGAGUUUAUUGGAUCUUGAAGCAGUCGUGAAGGAUCCCCUUCCCGAAGCAUUGAAAUAUUCUGCUGAAGUCAUGGCUAAAUUCAUGGCCCGUACUGGUGGAAGAAACAUGGCUCAAGAAGAAAACAUGAAUCAGGAUACUGUAAAAGAAAAUGCUGAAUCCAUGGCUGGUACUAGUGCGAGGGAGAUGCCCGGAAAAGAGAAUCAUCUCGAAUUGAACCAAAUUGAUGUGGUAGGUGAUGGAAAUGUUCAAGCUACUACUGGUAUUGACAAGGGCAAUGUCCGUAGACCAAGUUUGAUGGAAAGGAACAAAUCUGCUCGUACCUCUGAGUGGACUGAAUAUGAACCUGAAGAAGAGCAAGGGUCGAGGUUACCUAGCCCAAGGACGACAAAGAAUGCUCCUAACAAACCUGGAAAGGAAAAUGGAAAGGAUAGGAGAAUACGCCGGCUCUGGACUUCUGCUGAAGAGAAAGCUUUCGAGACUGCAGUAGAGAAUCUUGGAGUAGAGAAGCCUGGAAGCAUACAUUGGAGGGCUAUAGCUACCGAGUACAGUGACACAAUUCAAGAUAGAACUGCCGAGGAUUUGCGGUACAAGUGGAGAAACAUGACGAAAGCGAAAGCAAAAAGAUACGGUUGAUUUACGGUUAAUAUGGUCUUUUUUACAUGGAACAAGUAUCCAUAUGGUAAGUUGCUUCUUUGUUUGUAUACUUUGGCUGGUUUUAUUGAUGUAUUUGAUGCUCUUGGCAUCUGUUCAUUUUGUAUAGAGGGCUGUAAAUCAGUGGAGUAGUGCCCUUGUUAGCACAUGAGUGGGUUUUUUUGAGUAUAUUUUUGUAUGCCCUAGUAUGUGUGGUGUAGUUGUGCAGCACUUUUGAUGUAUAAAAUUUUCAACAUUGUGUUUCUAAACAAUUACUGAACGAAGUCGUGGAUAAACCGAUGCUUGUGGUUUUACAGGCUGCGUAUAUGACUUCCUAAUCUCUGUAGCAGAUUUUAACAGGCGAUGAUUUGUAGCAAAGUAGAACUUUUACGGUCCGAAUUCAUUCUUACUGUGUGUUCUCAUAGAAGAAAGUUUAGCUUGUUCAUGUUUCUCCGAUUGGGAUCUCGUUUAAUGUUCGAAUGCAUUUCAAUGCAAUUAAUUAUUACAAUGUAUUUAUAUAGUUUACACUUUACAGUGUCAAGCUUCGUGCCAGACGGAAAGAAGGACUUUAGAACAGGCCUUAAAAACACUCUCUGUUGAACUUAGCCCGUCGAAGAAAAAUCUCCAUCCCUGAAGUUUAGAGCAGAACACGUUCUGAUCCGUCUAGAAGGAACGUUAUCGUGAUAUUAUUACCAGGAGCCUUUCUAUUACAUUGUAUAAGCAUGUAUAACAAUUUUGGUAUAGUAGAAUUGGCAGGAGCAGAUGUAAUUGAAUAGAUAAACCAAGUUGUUGGACGAACAAGCAAAGCAAGCAGAUGGAUAGGCAUCACGACAAACCUUCAAUUUCGAGACACAAAUUAAAUCAAAGCAAGCAGAUGGAUUUUACUUGAAUCUAAUUAUUGAAAAUAUUAUUUUCGGUAUUUGUGAGGUUAAUAAUCAAGAAUCAAACUCUGUGUAGUAGUAUGUGGAUCAGUGGAUGUAUAAAGUCAAUUGUUUACAACUGAUUUUUCAUCAUCGAAUAUACUGCUACUUACUCUGUCUAUGUUUCCGAGUCUUUGUCUGCAUAGUUUGUUAGUAUAUAUGUUAUCUGCUAAUGCUGAGGAAGUUUAUUGUGCUUUCUAGACAAGCUUUUCUUAGCAUUGUUUCAUUAGUCUCUUGGUUAAUUUCGUUUUUUGUUGGGUGUUCUCUAAUAAUUUUGAGCUUAAGUCUCAAUGUGCUUUCUCCAUAGACAUUGAUCAAUAUUGCUACCAGUUAAGCUUGAUUUCCUGAGAGUUUUUUUUUUUUUUUGGUUGGUGCAGAAUGGAGUCGCAAAUUAAGCGUGCUGUAGUUGUGAAGGUGAUUGGCAGGACAGGUUCCCGUGGGCAAGUUACUCAGGUGAGGGUGAAAUUUAUCGAUGAUCAGAACCGUUUCAUAAUGAGGAAUGUCAAAGGCCCUGUUAGGGAAGGAGAUAUCCUCACCUUGCUAGAGUCUGAACGAGAGGCUAGGAGGCUCAGAUAGAUAUGUUCAUUAUGUCUCGUAUUAUCAUCAUUAUGUUUGAUGAUGCACUUCUUUUUG
This 4720-nucleotide long non-coding RNA is filed under the name Erythranthe guttata (spotted monkey flower). Its description in RNAcentral is "long non-coding RNA (EGUT_LNC000294)". The record is from RNAcentral. Lineage: Eukaryota; Viridiplantae; Streptophyta; Magnoliopsida; Lamiales; Phrymaceae.